GACGGAGGGCGCAAGCGUUGUUCGGAAUUACUGGGCGUAAAGCGCGGGCAGGUGGUCCGUUAAGUCGUUUGUGAAAAUCCGGGGCUCAACCCCGCGAAAUGCAGACGAUACUGGCGGACUAGAGAUUGGUAGAGGCUAGCGGAAUUCCUGGUGUAGCGGUGGAAUGCGUAGAUAUCAGGAAGAACACCAGUGGCGAAGGCGGCUAGCUGGGCCAAGUCUGACACUCAUCCGCGAAAGCGUGGGGAGCAAA
Molecule: ribosomal RNA, 250 nt
Filed under: uncultured bacterium
Lineage: Bacteria
Description: partial 16S ribosomal RNA
Rfam family: Bacterial small subunit ribosomal RNA
Source: RNAcentral